UGGGGAAUAUUGGGCAAUGGGCGAAAGCCUGACCCAGCAACGCCGCGUGAAGGAAGAAGGCCUUCGGGUUGUAAACUUCUUUGACGAGGGAAGAAAGAAAUGACGGUACCUCGAAAACAAGCCACGGCUAACUACGUGCCAGCAGCCGCGGUAAUACGUAGGUGGCGAGCGUUGUCCGGAUUUACUGGGUGUAAAGGGCGUGUAGGCGGGCCUGCAAGUCAGAUGUGAAAUGCGGAGGCUUAACCUCCGAGCUGCAUUUGAAACUGCGGGUCUUGAGUGAUGGAGAGGCAGGCGGAAUUCCUAGUGUAGCGGUGAAAUGCGUAGAUAUUAGGAGGAACACCAGUGGCGAAGGCGGCUUUCUGGACGACAACUGACGCUGAGGCGCGAAAGCGUGGGGAGCAAACAGG
Molecule: ribosomal RNA, 407 nt
Filed under: uncultured prokaryote
Also listed under: 1 other name
Description: bacterial SSU rRNA
Rfam family: Bacterial small subunit ribosomal RNA
Source: RNAcentral